RNAcentral lists this ribosomal RNA (253 nucleotides) under uncultured bacterium. RNAcentral describes it as "partial 16S ribosomal RNA". It matches the Rfam family "Bacterial small subunit ribosomal RNA", at positions 524 to 776 of the family's 1533-position model. The record is from RNAcentral.
UACGAAGGUGGCAAGCGUUGUUCGGAUUUACUGGGCGUACAGGGAGCGUAGGCGGUUGGAUAAGCCCUCCGUGAAAUCUCCCGGCUUAACUGGGAGGGUGCGCUAUAGACUGUGGGGCUAGAGUGUGGGAGAGGAAAGUGGAAUUCCUGGUGUAGCGGUGAAAUGCGUAGAUAUCAGGAGGAACACCGGUGGUGUAAACGGCUUUCUGGACCAUAACUGACGCUGAGGCACGAAAGCGUGGGUAGCAAACAGG